Molecule: long non-coding RNA, 2198 nt
Organism: Clupea harengus (Atlantic herring)
Lineage: Eukaryota; Metazoa; Chordata; Actinopteri; Clupeiformes; Clupeidae
Source: RefSeq, a predicted model, not a curated record
CCGGAACACUCCUCUGUUCCUCACUGCUGCAUACUCCUCCAUGAGCGCCCCUGCCUCUCUCUCCCUCUCCCUCUCCCUCUGUCGGUCUCUCUUUCUCCUCUCUUUCCCCUCCCACCUCGCUACACACAGGCACACACAUGCAUGCACACACACACACACGCAUGCAGCCUGACCCAUUCCUUCUCUCUCUCUCGCUCUGUGUCUCUCUCCUCGCGCGCACCGACUAGCUUUUCUCUCAGAGAUCUACAUCGGGAACGGAGCUUUAUGCUCCCUUCUUGUUUUCUCUUCUUCUAUUACAACCCUCCUGGCAUUUGUGAACUCUCUACUACUACUGCUGUUGCUGCUGCUGCACGGAAAAGACCCGACCUGCUUCAGUCUUCAGCUCCAGGGAUCCCCCUCCAAUCACAGGCCCCAGGAUCUCGCCUGCCUGCCUGCCCGCAUGCCUGUGUAGAAGCCAUACAUCUCUCCAUUUUUUACUUUCUCUCUCUCCUUAUUUUGUGCCCGCUUCUUUUCUUUGCCUCCCGUGCGCCAUCUGAAGGGUAUUCCCUCUGUCCCCGACGAGACUCUCUUUUCACGUGACGAGCCCCCCACGCUGGACGAGGAAGAGGAAGGAAGAGGAAGGACGGCCAAGGCAAGCAUGCUUCGGGAUAGACAGAGAAAGCGCAAGAGAGGGAGAGAGAGUGAGGGGGAGAAUGAAUAAGACUCAAAAUGGACAGAGAGAGAAAGAGAGAGAGAAGAGAACAGAACAUAGAGAAGGAGAGCUGAAGAAGGGGUAAAUGAGGUGAUGACUGAACCUUCAGGCGAGGAGGACUGAGACGAGGGGUCUAAUCCCCUGCACCCCACGCUGGCAAAUUCAUCAGUUGGGCUGUUGCAAUGAGCACAUUCUGUCGGCACUCUUUACGGAGUCUAUGGUCCACCAUGAGCACUAGGAAGUUCGGUACUCUCACAUUUAUUCUUCAUGACCUCUGAAGAUGCAGAGUUCGACCCAGUCGGACAGCAGCCAUUUUGAAAGGGCCAGCCAUUUUGGAAUUCCUUGCGUUCGAGGUGCGGGGCACUCCACUGUUUUGGCGAGGGACAUGGUAAGAGGAAAACAGAUGUGGGGUGUCUCAAUCUGAAUCGUCAGAUUUUCUUUUCACCUCCUCCGUCAGUGUCAUUUCCUAAUCGUCUUUGAAACAGUUGUACAGGUGCUCGAGGUGGUCAGGCAACUAAGUUAGAGAGAUAUGAAGGAUUACUUACCUACCAUGAAUAUGUACACACUAAAACAUUAAAUAAAUUCACAUUUGCUGUUGUAUGCACACAUAUACUCACACCAUAGCACAUUAUAGACACCCAGUUACCAUUCCAGUAUGGUAAGAACCUCCUUCUCUGCCAUAGGAGAAUAUAAUGACUCAUGGCGGAAGAGGACAUAUUCUCUAAACCCUGAGGAAACUCAUAUCUGCUCUGAUAAGUUAAUACAUUUAGCUAAUAAUGUGUAAACUAAGUGAGUCAACGUACAAUUAGUGAGAAGUGAGAUGUACAUAUCACUAUGUGCGGCAAUAUGCAAUGACAAAUGCUAAAAGGUGACAUAAAGCACUGAAUAAUUCAAAUGACUUAAUCUUCCAAUCAUUCUACUGACUGAAAUGUGAGUAGAACUACAACUUCCAGCAUGCCUCUUUGUCCCUGAGACCCUUAACCUGUGAUGUCAUGUAAGGUCACAGGUGAGGUCCUUGGGAACAAGGCCACAUGCAUUUUGGCAGCAACCUUCAGAGAUGAAGGACAAAUAAGAACCCUGGUCCAAAAAUCCAUUUGGCUGCAGCUUAUCUCAUGUAGAUCAGCACCAUAGUUAGAGAAGGCUGAAACUCAGGAGGCUCCCAUAUAGGGAGUUGUCAUUAGGGACAGGCCGUACUGUCCGACUUCUUACUCUGACCAAAAAGAAGGCGGUCUAAGGUUGUGACCCCUAUUUCUUUCUGCGUGAGACUAUUGAAACUCUUGAGAAGUGAGAUGCAGCCUGGUCAGGCAAUAAGAGAUAUGAAAGAGGCUAUAGAGUCAUGAAAUCAGCAGUGAUACGCAUCUUAAAGAAGAUUCCUACUGUACUAUAUAUGUUCUGCAUUAUGUGCUUAUGCUUGUGUGUGUGUUAUGCUGCUAUGAAUUUAUCACAGUGAAUUUAUAAGAAUAGAUGUAUCAAACAAACAAUAAAAGCGGAUUCCCUCUAAAAAAAA